Molecule: ribosomal RNA, 497 nt
Filed under: uncultured bacterium
Lineage: Bacteria
Description: partial 16S ribosomal RNA
Rfam family: Bacterial small subunit ribosomal RNA
Source: RNAcentral
GAUGAACGCUGGCGGCGUGCCUAAUACAUGCAAGUCGAGCGAACAGAUGAGGAGCUUGCUCCUCUGACGUUAGCGGCGGACGGGUGAGUAACGCGUGGAUAACCUACCUAUAAGACUGGGAUAACUUCGGGAAACCGGAGCUAAUACCGGAUAAUAUAUUGAACCGCAUGGUUCAAUAGUGAAAGACGGUUUUGCUGUCACUUAUAGAUGGAUCCGCGCCGCAUUAGCUAGUUGGUAAGGUAACGGCUUACCAAGGCAACGAUGCGUAGCCGACCUGAGAGGGUGAUAGGCCACACUGGAACUGAGACACGGUCCAGACUCCUACGGGAGGCAGCAGUAGGGAAUCUUCCGCAAUGGGCGAAAGCCUGACGGAGCAACGCCGCGUGAGUGAUGAAGGUCUUCGGAUCGUAAAACUCUGUUAUUAGGGAAGAACAAAUGUGUAAGUAACUAUGCACGUCUUGACGGUACCUAAUCAGAAAGCCACGGCUAACUACGUG